Molecule: ribosomal RNA, 483 nt
Filed under: uncultured bacterium
Lineage: Bacteria
Description: partial 16S ribosomal RNA
Rfam family: Bacterial small subunit ribosomal RNA
Source: RNAcentral
GAUUGAACGCUGGCGGCAUGCUUUACACAUGCAGGUCGAACGGUAACAGGCCGCAAGGUGCUGACGAGUGGCGAACGGGUGAGUAAUGCAUCGGAACGUGCCCAGUCGUGGGGGAUAACUACUCGAAAGAGUAGCUAAUACCGCAUACGAUCUAUGGAUGAAAGCGGGGGACCGUAAGGCCUCGCGCGAUUGGAGCGGCCGAUGUCAGAUUAGGUAGUUGGUGGGGUAAAGGCUCACCAAGCCAACGAUCUGUAGCUGGUCUGAGAGGACGACCAGCCACACUGGGACUGAGACACGGCCCAGACUCCUACGGGAGGCAGCAGUGGGGAAUUUUGGACAAUGGGCGCAAGCCUGAUCCAGCGAUGCCGCGUGCAGGAAGAAGGCCUUCGGGUUGUAAACUGCUUUUGUACGGAACGAAACGGCUCUGGUUAAUACCCGGGGCUAAUGACGGUACCGUAAGAAUAAGCACCGGCUAACUACGUG